GAUGAACGCUGGCGGCGUGCCUAAUACAUGCAAGUCGAGCGAACGGACGAGAAGCUUGCUUCUCUGAUGUUAGCGGCGGACGGGUGAGUAACACGUGGAUAACCUACCUGUAAGACUGGGAUAACUUCGGGAAACCGGAGCUAAUACCGGAUGAUAUUUUGAUCCGCAUGGUUCAAAAGUGAAAGACGGUCUUGCUGUCACUUAUAGAUGGAUCCGCGCUGCAUUAGCUAGUUGGUAAGGUAACGGCUUACCAAGGCAACGAUGCAUAGCCGACCUGAGAGGGUGAUCGGCCACACUGGAACUGAGACACGGUCCAGACUCCUACGGGAGGCAGCAGUAGGGAAUCUUCCGCAAUGGGCGAAAGCCUGACGGAGCAACGCCGCGUGAGUGAUGAAGGUCUUCGGAUCGUAAAACUCUGUUAUUAGGGAAGAACAUAUGUGUAAGUAACUGUGCACAUCUUGACGGUACCUAAUCAGAAAGCCACGGCUAACUACGUG
RNAcentral lists this ribosomal RNA (497 nucleotides) under uncultured bacterium. Its description in RNAcentral is "partial 16S ribosomal RNA". It matches the Rfam family "Bacterial small subunit ribosomal RNA", at positions 28 to 507 of the family's 1533-position model. The record is from RNAcentral.